GAGGCAGCAGUGGGGAAUUUUGGACAAUGGGCGCAAGCCUGAUCCAGCAAUGCCGCGUGAGUGAAGAAGGCCUUCGGGUUGUAAAGCUCUUUUGUCAGGGAAGAAACGGCUGCGGCUAAUAUCCGCGGCUAAUGACGGUACCUGAAGAAUAAGCACCGGCUAACUACGUGCCAGCAGCCGCGGUAAUACGUAGGGUGCAAGCGUUAAUCGGAAUUACUGGGCGUAAAGCGUGCGCAGGCGGUUUUGUAAGUCUGACGUGAAAUCCCCGGGCUCAACCUGGGAAUUGCGUUGGAGACUGCAAGGCUGGAGUCUGGCAGAGGGGGGUAGAAUUCCACGUGUAGCAGUGAAAUGCGUAGAGAUGUGGAGGAACACCGAUGGCGAAGGCAGCCCCCUGGGUCAAGACUGACGCUCAUGCACGAAAGCGUGGGGAGCAAACAGGAUUAGAUACCCUGGUAGUCCACGCCCUAAACGAUGACUACUAGUUGUCGGGUUUUAAUUAACUUGGUAACGCAGCUAACGCGUGAAGUAGACCGCCUGGGGA
This 541-nucleotide ribosomal RNA is filed under the name uncultured bacterium. RNAcentral's name for it is "bacterial SSU rRNA". It matches the Rfam family "Bacterial small subunit ribosomal RNA", at positions 345 to 879 of the family's 1533-position model. The record is from RNAcentral.